GGUCCAUGAUCUUAAGUGUGUCAGGUUUUAAUCAGCAAGAUAAUUCAGAUGCCUUUGUAACCUGCUUCUCAACAGGCUGCUGGACUUGGACUGAUUCUGUGUGUAUCUCUUUUGUUUCCUCAUCAGGGAGAAAAUGCUACAAACUAGUUGCUAUAACCUUUGGACUCCUUUGUAUCCUACAAGCUGCUCUUAACAUUUCACUACGUCUUCUGCUCUACAAUUCUGAAAAUAUGAGAGCAAGUACAGAGUGGAACUGCAAAAACCUGACUGAAGAGACCAAUGAGCUGAAGAGAAAACUGGAUACUUUUGAUAACAAAACUGUGAACAUGGAGGCCAGUUUAAAAUCUGUUACUGAGGAGCGAGAUGAGCUGAA
Monopterus albus (swamp eel) is the source of this 373-nucleotide long non-coding RNA. RefSeq lists it as uncharacterized. The record is from RefSeq and is a predicted model, not a curated record. The transcript is spliced from 3 exons. NCBI's taxonomy places the organism in Eukaryota, Metazoa, Chordata, Actinopteri, Synbranchiformes, Synbranchidae.